AUUGAACGCUGGCGGCAUGCUUUACACAUGCAAGUCGAACGGCAGCGCGGGCUUCGGCCUGGCGGCGAGUGGCGAACGGGUGAGUAAUGCAUCGGAACGUGCCCAGUAGUGGGGGAUAGCCCGGCGAAAGCCGGAUUAAUACCGCAUACGACCUGAGGGUGAAAGCGGGGGACCGGAAGGCCUCGCGCUAUUGGAGCGGCCGAUGUCGGGUUAGCGAGGUGGUGGGGUAAAGGCUUACCAAGGCGACGAUCCGUAGCUGGUCUGAGAGGACGACCAGCCACACUGGGACUGAGACACGGCCCAGACUCCUACGGGAGGCAGCAGUGGGGAAUUUUGGACAAUGGGGGCAACCCUGAUCCAGCCAUGCCGCGUGCGGGAAGAAGGCCUUCGGGUUGUAAACCGCUUUUGUUCGGGAAGAAAUCCUCUGGGCUAAUACCCCGUGGGGAUGACGUUACCGGAAGAAUAAGCACCGGCUAACUACGUG
RNAcentral lists this ribosomal RNA (484 nucleotides) under uncultured bacterium. RNAcentral describes it as "partial 16S ribosomal RNA". It matches the Rfam family "Bacterial small subunit ribosomal RNA", at positions 28 to 507 of the family's 1533-position model. The record is from RNAcentral.